Molecule: long non-coding RNA, 1093 nt
Organism: Mus musculus (house mouse)
Lineage: Eukaryota; Metazoa; Chordata; Mammalia; Rodentia; Muridae
Product: predicted gene, 50628
Exons: 3
Source: RefSeq, a predicted model, not a curated record
GUAUGUUGGGAGAAUAUAUACAGAUCCCUCUGCUGAAGUCCUGACUAAACCUCAGUGUGCUAUACUGGGAGAUAGGAGUAAGGAGGUGUAUGAAGCCUAAUGUGGUCCUUGAAGUGACCUUUAGCAGGGCCUGUGCUAAAGCAGUAGAAACUGUUGCAGUAAAUAUCAGCAGUGUGUAUGUGUGCAUACGCACAUGCUAAAUAAUUUGCCAAACAAGUACUCAGGGAGACAACACCUACAACUCACCAGAGAAUAAGCCUAAUGUGGUCCUUGAAGUGACCUUUAGCAGGGCCUGUGCUAAAGCAGUAGCAGCAGAAACUGUUGCAGUAAGUAUCAGCAGGGUGUGUGUGUGUGUGUGUGUGUGUGUGUAUGUGCGUAUGCACAUGCACAUACUAAAGAACUUGCCAAACAAGUACUCAGGGAGACAACACCUACAAUUCACCAGAGAAUAAGCCUAGGGAAUGGUCACACCCAGCUUGUACCACAUGAAAAGACUCCAGGCUCCAGACUAGUGCAGGAUGAAGCUCUGCUGUUGUGCCCUAAGCCAUGGACAACUAUCAGCUAUGGCAGCCCAUUGUGUCCAGGGCAGGUAGGAGAUGGUGCAGAGUCCUACUGUCUGGGCUUCUGAAGGGACUUUGCUUCUUCACAGUAAUAAUCUUGUCUUUUAUGUCCAGGGGUUGUCUCCAGCAUGGCCGAAAGCAGGAGUUCAAGGCAAAACCCGUUUUGAUGAUUUGGGAAUAAAAACAAAUGUAUGAGGGGAAAGGAAACUCAGAAGAGGAAUAAAAUCUAAAAUCAGUCUAAAGAACCUAGAACAGGAGAACUGAACUCUGCCUACCAUUUCAGUCUUCUGGUUUCCCUGUGUUUUCAGCUGCACAGACAUGGCUGGCUCUCAGAGUCCCAGGAGCCUCAGGUUCUUACCCUGCCUGAGACUGUCCCUUUCCAGGCUGACCUCUAAUUCACUGUGGCAGUAUUAGGCUAACUGGAAACAUCUUGGGCAUUGGUUAGUCUUCGUACUGUUCUUAUAGCUAGUUGUUUAGCUAUUUACAACUGCUAAGAUCUUAUAACAGAAAAGUGGCAAGAGAAACCACUUUCU